AGCAGCCGCGGUAAUUCCAGCUCCAAUAGCGUAUAUUAAAGUUGUUGCAGUUAAAAAGCUCGUAGUUGAAUUUCGGGGUCAGUAGGUUGGUCAUGCCACUGGUAUGUACUGGCCUCACUGAUUCCUCCUUCCUGAUGAGCCGUAAUGCCAUUAAUUUGGUGUUGCGAGGAAUCUGGACUGUUACUUUGAAAAAAUUAGAGUGUUUAAAGCAGGCUAACGCUUGAAUACAUUAGCAUGGAAUAAUGAAAUAGGACGUUCGAUCUUAUUUUGUUGGUUUCUAAGAUUGACGUAAUGAUUAAUAGGGAUAGUUGGGGGCAUUAGUAUUCAAUUGUCAGAGGUGAAAUUCUUGGAUUUAUUGGAGACUAACUACUGCGAAAGCAUUUGCCAAGGAUGUUUUCAUUAAUCAAGAACGAAAGUUAGGGGAUCGAAGACGAUCAGAUACCGUCGUAGUCUUAACCAUAAACUAUGCCGACUAGGGAUCGGAUGAUGUUAAUUUUUUAAUGACUCA
RNAcentral lists this ribosomal RNA (508 nucleotides) under uncultured Glomus. RNAcentral describes it as "SSU rRNA". It matches the Rfam family "Eukaryotic small subunit ribosomal RNA", at positions 569 to 1078 of the family's 1831-position model. Lineage: Eukaryota; Fungi; Glomeromycota; Glomeromycetes; Glomerales; Glomeraceae. The record is from RNAcentral.